UACAGAGGGUGCGAGCGUUAAUCGGAAUUACUGGGCGUAAAGCGUGCGUAGACGGCUAUCUAAGUCGGAUGUGAAAGCCCCGGGCUCAACCUGGGAAUUGCAUUCGAGACUGAAUAGCUAGGGUACGGUAGAGGGAAGCGGAAUUUCCGGUGUAGCGGUGAAAUGCGUAGAUAUCGGAAGGAACAUCAGUGGCGAAAGCGGCUUCCUGGACCAGUACCGACGUUCAGGCACGAAAGCGUGGGGAGCAAACAGG
RNAcentral lists this ribosomal RNA (253 nucleotides) under uncultured bacterium. RNAcentral's name for it is "partial 16S ribosomal RNA". It matches the Rfam family "Bacterial small subunit ribosomal RNA", at positions 524 to 776 of the family's 1533-position model. The record is from RNAcentral.